RNAcentral lists this ribosomal RNA (790 nucleotides) under human gut metagenome. Its description in RNAcentral is "bacterial SSU rRNA". It matches the Rfam family "Bacterial small subunit ribosomal RNA", at positions 547 to 1341 of the family's 1533-position model. The record is from RNAcentral.
GGAUUUAUUGGGUUUAAAGGGUGCGUAGGUGGUGAUUUAAGUCAGCGGUGAAAGUUUGUGGCUCAACCAUAAAAUUGCCGUUGAAACUGGGUUACUUGAGUGUGUUUGAGGUAGGCGGAAUGCGUGGUGUAGCGGUGAAAUGCAUAGAUAUCACGCAGAACUCCGAUUGCGAAGGCAGCUUACUAAACCAUAACUGACACUGAAGCACGAAAGCGUGGGGAUCAAACAGGAUUAGAUACCCUGGUAGUCCACGCAGUAAACGAUGAUUACUAGGAGUUUGCGAUACAAUGUAAGCUCUACAGCGAAAGCGUUAAGUAAUCCACCUGGGGAGUACGCCGGCAACGGUGAAACUCAAAGGAAUUGACGGGGGCCCGCACAAGCGGAGGAACAUGUGGUUUAAUUCGAUGAUACGCGAGGAACCUUACCCGGGUUUGAACGUAGUCUGACCGGAGUGGAAACACUCUUUCUAGCAAUAGCAGAUUACGAGGUGCUGCAUGGUUGUCGUCAGCUCGUGCCGUGAGGUGUCGGCUUAAGUGCCAUAACGAGCGCAACCCUUAUCACUAGUUACUAACAGGUGAAGCUGAGGACUCUGGUGAGACUGCCAGCGUAAGCUGUGAGGAAGGUGGGGAUGACGUCAAAUCAGCACGGCCCUUACAUCCGGGGCGACACACGUGUUACAAUGGCAUGGACAAAGGGCAGCUACCUGGUGACAGGAUGCUAAUCUCCAAACCAUGUCUCAGUUCGGAUCGGAGUCUGCAACUCGACUCCGUGAAGCUGGAUUCGCUAGUAA